Bos taurus (domestic cattle) is the source of this 746-nucleotide long non-coding RNA. Lineage: Eukaryota; Metazoa; Chordata; Mammalia; Artiodactyla; Bovidae. The record is from Ensembl.
AGAGACCCCUGGACAUAUCGGGCACCAGACAGAGAAGGUGCCCUCAGCAUCAUCUGUCUCUGACUCGGCUCGGAUCAAGAGCCUCUCUGAGAGCGGUUCUGUGGCCUCAAACAGCUUUGAUCCUCUCCACUUUUCGGUUUGUCCUUCAGCAUUCCGAGUGCUUUACAGAAAUUAUUAACAAUUCCAUAAGGUAUUUUGACAAAGUUGUGUUUACAGAACCAUUGGUAUCCCAAGGCACUCCUGAUCAAAGAGCAAUAAGAUAUUUCAAAAUUGCUCCUGUGUUUGUGUUGCCAUGUGAACUUUUCCCUGAGAGGAAGUAUUAACGUGGAGACUCUGGCCCCAGAUUGGUAUCUUCUGUGAAAAUGGAUAUGGAUGAAUGACGCUCAAAAUGGCCUUCUCUUCAAAUAUUAUGUGCUGGGGAAGUGGCCGUUUAGAGUAAUAACACUAAGGAAGCAUUACAUAUCAUGGGUUGUUGGAAUUAACCAGAACUUCUCUGAAAGACAUAAAAGAAACUGUGAAUGAAAAGUCACAGUAGUCAUCUGGAUAGAUGAAGCUCUUCCAUCAGAGGAAAUCAAGUGCUGGACAAAAUGCUGGAGAAGAAGAUGCAUCCAACGGUCUAGUAACAUCACUUCAACUAAGUAAAUAGAACUUGGAGUAAAGAGAAGAGGAAUUCCCUAAAGUUUAUUUAUCUCAGAGCCACAGAAGGAUUGAAAUAUUCUUUGAACUCUGGUUUACGUAAGAUGAAC